UUUCCGUAGGUGUACCUGCGGAAGGAUCAUUAAAGUUAUAGUCCCCCGGCCCUCUGGGCUGGGGUCUUCUAUACCACCCUUUGUUUAUUACACCUUUGUUGCUUUGGCAGGCCUGCCCUCAGGCUGCUGGCUCCGGCCGGCUCGCGUCUGCCAGAGGACCUAAACUCUGUUUGUAUAUGAAGUCUGAGUACUAUAUAAUAGUUAAAACUUUCAACAACGGAUCUCUUGGUUCUG
RNAcentral lists this unclassified non-coding RNA (234 nucleotides) under plant metagenome. RNAcentral's name for it is "partial contains small subunit ribosomal RNA, internal transcribed spacer 1, and 5.8S ribosomal RNA". The record is from RNAcentral.